GUGCUCACUUUGGCAGGACAUAACCUAAAAUUGGAACCAUAUAGAGAAGAUUGACAUGGCCCCUGCAAAAGGAUGGCACACAAAUUCCUGAAGUCAUCCAUUUUUAA
Molecule: small nuclear RNA, 107 nt
Organism: Octodon degus (degu)
Lineage: Eukaryota; Metazoa; Chordata; Mammalia; Rodentia; Octodontidae
Source: Ensembl